GGAAGAGAGGCAAAGAGUGAUUCACAGUCUCAGAUCAACACAGCCCUGCCCUCCAGCACUAUCAGUAGCAGGAGCAGCAGCAACCCCUCAACAGCAACAUUGUACCCAUCAGGUAAAACAUAAGCUACGUUUGCUUUGCCUCACAACAGUCAUAUAGUAUGAUGCGAUCCCAUAUUAGAUUCUUGAUGAAUGUGUGUUGUUGUUAUUCAGCCUGGUUCAGUGUGCCCCUUUUUAGCUUUGAGCACCCGCCCCUAUAAACGUCUCUGCACAGCCCUGCCCCAGACGCCUUAACGCCCACUCACAUCCUGGGCCAUCUGACCUCAGGAACUCACAUGACAAGGUGGGGCCAGGUUUCACAAUGGGCUCACCCGAAACCCUGGCUGAUUAGGUACCACACCCGCUUUCACACCUUGGCUCAUGUGAUUAGAGGAUCACCAGGGGGUCCUUUGUCCCUCUUUGGGGGGAUACUCCCACUGGGUUUAAAUCUGGGACUCUCGGCCAUUUGACCUUAGAACUGAAGAAGCUUCUCGGAUGAGAGGUGAAACGUCUUCAAGCAACUCAAAGAAGUCCAGACGCUUUUCUUUGCAAAUUCCUUUGACUACGAUGACCUGGAUGACUGAGAACCUUCACAGACAUACUACUGUUACUCAUUUUAUAUUAAGAUUUUAAAAUCUAGUUGGUAUUGGUAUGGUGAAUAACCUUCAGUAAAAGUAAUAAAU
This is a long non-coding RNA of Oreochromis aureus, 719 nucleotides long. The record is from Ensembl. NCBI's taxonomy places the organism in Eukaryota, Metazoa, Chordata, Actinopteri, Cichliformes, Cichlidae.